AGUGAACGCUGGCGGUAGGCCUAACACAUGCAAGUCGAACGGCAGCACAGUAAGAGCUUGCUCUUACGGGUGGCGAGUGGCGGACGGGUGAGGAAUACAUCGGAAUCUACUUUUUCGUGGGGGAUAACGUAGGGAAACUUACGCUAAUACCGCAUACGACCUACGGGUGAAAGCAGGGGAUCUUCGGACCUUGCGCGAUUGAAUGAGCCGAUGUCGGAUUAGCUAGUUGGCGGGGUAAAGGCCCACCAAGGCGACGAUCCGUAGCUGGUCUGAGAGGAUGAUCAGCCACACUGGAACUGGGACACGGUCCAGACUCCUACGGGAGGCAGCAGUGGGGAAUAUUGGACAAUGGGAGCAAGCCUGAUCCAGCCAUACCGCGUGGGUGAAGAAGGCCUUCGGGUUGUAAAGCCCUUUUGUUGGGAAAGAAAAGCAGCAGGUUAAUACCCCGCUGUUAUGACGGUACCCAAAGAAUAAGCACCGGCUAACUUCGUG
This 492-nucleotide ribosomal RNA is filed under the name uncultured bacterium. Its description in RNAcentral is "partial 16S ribosomal RNA". It matches the Rfam family "Bacterial small subunit ribosomal RNA", at positions 29 to 507 of the family's 1533-position model. The record is from RNAcentral.